GACGAACGCUGGCGGCGUGCUUAACACAUGCAAGUCGAACGCUGAAGACCUGGCUUUUGUUGGGUUGGAUGAGUGGCGAACGGGUGAGUAACACGUGAGUAACCUGCCCUCUUCUUUGGGAUAACGCCCGGAAACGGGUGCUAAUACUGGAUAUUCACUGAUCUUCGCAUGGGGGUUGGGGGAAAGGUUUGUUCUGGUGGGGGAUGGGCUCGCGGCCUAUCAGCUUGUUGGUGGGGUGAUGGCCUACCAAGGCUUUGACGGGUAGCCGGCCUGAGAGGGUGACCGGUCACAUUGGGACUGAGAUACGGCCCAGACUCCUACGGGAGGCAGCAGUGGGGAAUAUUGCACAAUGGGCGAAAGCCUGAUGCAGCGACGCCGCGUGAGGGAUGGAGGCCUUCGGGUUGUAAACCUCUUUCGCUCAUGGUCAAGCCGCAACUGUGGGUUGUGGUGAGGGUAGUGGGUAAAGAAGCGCCGGCUAACUACGUG
Molecule: ribosomal RNA, 486 nt
Filed under: uncultured bacterium
Lineage: Bacteria
Description: partial 16S ribosomal RNA
Rfam family: Bacterial small subunit ribosomal RNA
Source: RNAcentral